This is a non-coding RNA of Myodes glareolus (Bank vole), 511 nucleotides long. The record is from the annotation of a RefSeq genome assembly. NCBI's taxonomy places the organism in Eukaryota, Metazoa, Chordata, Mammalia, Rodentia, Cricetidae.
CUCACUAUAAAAGCCCAGGGCUCUCUGAGAGGCCACAUCUCCUUCUCACUAGAGCUUCCAACAAAGCAUGGCUGUCCUGGUGCUGCUCCUCUGCCUGGUGGCAUUUCCAAGUUGUGUCAUUUCCCAGGUACAGCUGAAGGAGACAGGACCUGGUCUGCUACAGCCCUCACAGACCCUGUCUCUCACCUGCACUGUCUCUGGGUUAUCAUUAACUGACAGUGAUAUACACUGGAUUCGCCAGCCUCCAGGAAAGGGUCUGGAGUGGAUGGGAAUAAUAUGGAGUGAUGGAAACACAAAGUACAGUUCAGCUCUCCAGUCUCGAAUCACCAUCAGCAGGGACACCUCCAAGAGUGAAGUCUUCUUAAAAUUGAACAAUGUGCACACUGAAGACACAGCCGUAUAUUACUGUGCCAGAGACACAGUGAGGAAACUCCAAUUUAAGCCUACACAAAAAUGCCUCCAAAUAGAGACAUCUGGGACCAGCAGAGGGCACUAAGAAACAACAGGGACU